AUGUUCUUACUUCUGGAUGCAGGAAAAUUAGUACACACCUUUAUAACUUUUAGACUGGAUUACUGCAACAGCCUGUCGGUUGGCUGUGCCUCUGCAUCAUUAAACCAACAACACUUGGUGUAAAAUGCUGCAGCAAGAGUCCGAACAAAGACUAGGAAACAUGCGCGUAUCAAUCCUGUACUGGCCUCACUCCACUGGCUCCCGGGCUGAAGCUGCCAAGGCUUACUACUGAAGGAAGGGAUUCGCCUGAGUUCACCAGAAGUUCACGGCUGAGCAUUUUUAAAAAACUAGGUGGAGAUGGUCGCGCCACCAUUAUGUUCUGUCGAAGGGACCAAACAUUAAAAGAAAUGAUGGACAAAUGUAUCAUCUAGGGGUGUGGAUCAAGGGAAAAAGCAAAGAUUGUGAAUGGUUGAAGGAAUGAUGAUGCUCAAGUAACGAGAUAUUGUUGAAUAAGAACUUGUAUAAAAAUUGGUGUAAAACAGUAUUGGACACACUCCUGCAGGCUGUCCAGCCUGGGUUGUAACCUCACUGUUGCAAUAAAGACUCAAUCUGAAGAUCUACACAA
Brienomyrus brachyistius is the source of this 565-nucleotide long non-coding RNA. RefSeq lists it as uncharacterized. The record is from RefSeq and is a predicted model, not a curated record. The transcript is spliced from 2 exons. Lineage: Eukaryota; Metazoa; Chordata; Actinopteri; Osteoglossiformes; Mormyridae.